CAGCAUCCGCGGGAAUACAGAGGGUGCGAGCGUUAAUCGGAUUUACUGGGCGUAAAGCGUGCGUAGGCGGCUUCUUAAGUCGGAUGUGAAAUCCCUGAGCUUAACUUAGGAAUUGCAUUCGAUACUGGGAAGCUAGAGUAUGGGAGAGGAUGGUAGAAUUCCAGGUGUAGCGGUGAAAUGCGUAGAGAUCUGGAGGAAUACCGAUGGCGAAGGCAGCCAUCUGGCCUAAUACUGACGCUGAGGUACGAAAGCAUGGGGAGCAAACAGGAUUAGAUACCCGGGUAGUCCCUGUCUCUUAUAC
This 301-nucleotide ribosomal RNA is filed under the name uncultured bacterium. RNAcentral describes it as "partial 16S ribosomal RNA". It matches the Rfam family "Bacterial small subunit ribosomal RNA", at positions 509 to 807 of the family's 1533-position model. The record is from RNAcentral.